GCGAAUGCUCGUGAGGUAAAUCGAUUAAUGUUUUUGGUAAGCUGCAAAAUUUGGACUGCAAAGUGCAUGAUUUCUGUGCCCUCGAUAUUUUGGGGCUUAAUGGGCCAAAAUUGGAAUGAUGGGCCAACGGGCCCAAUUCGGAAAUCCCCAACCAUAGUGGGCUUGGAGCUGUGAGGGAAUUUGGAGUGGCCACCCGUUCUGAAAGUUUGAUUUUCUUCUGGUGAACUGGACAUCCUUUUAUUUACGUUUGAAGUUUUGGGUUUUUAAAUGUAAUAAGGCCGCUUAAUUAUUUUUGAUGGUUUUAAUAUGUAUUACUAAGAUAGGUAUUAACACGACAACAAGCAAAGCUUCCGCAAUGAAAGUAUUUUCCAAAA
Gossypium arboreum is the source of this 374-nucleotide long non-coding RNA. RefSeq lists it as uncharacterized. The record is from RefSeq and is a predicted model, not a curated record. Lineage: Eukaryota; Viridiplantae; Streptophyta; Magnoliopsida; Malvales; Malvaceae. The transcript has 2 exons.